GCAUGCAUGUCUAUGCACAAGCCGAAAAUGGUGAGCCGCGAAUGGCUCAUUACAACAGCCACUGUUUACUUGAUCUUGAUUAUCCUACUUGGAUAACUGUGGUAAUUCUAGAGCUAAUACAUGCCAAGAUGCUCUGACCUUGCGGGACGAGCGCACUUAUUAGACCAAGACCAAUCGGGCUUCGGCUCGUAGUCUGGUGACUCUGAAUAACUCUGCCGAUCGCACGGUCUUUGUACCGGCGACGCAUCUUUCAAGUGUCUGCCUUAUCAACUUUCGAUGGUAGUUUCUGUGCCUACCAUGGUUGUAACGGGUAACGGAGAAUAAGGGUUCGACUCCGGAGAGGGAGCCUGAGAAACGGCUACCACAUCCAAGGAAGGCAGCAGGCGCGCAAAUUACCCACUCUCAGCGCGAGGAGGUAGUGACGAAAAAUAACGAGUCGGUUCUCAUUGAGGCCCGAUAUCGGAAUGGGUACAAUCUAAACCCUUUAACGAGGACCUAUGAGAGGGCAAGUCUGGUGCCAGCAGCCGCGGUAAUUCCAGCUCUCAAGGUGUAUAUCGCCAUUGCUGCGGUUAAAAAGCUCGUAGUUGGAUCUGCGUUUUCGGACUCGGUCCGCCCAAGGGUGUGAACUGAGCUCCAAGACUUUAUGGCUGGUUUUCCCUUGAUGCUCUUCACUGAGUGUCCUGGGUGGCUAGCGAGUUUACUUUGAAAAAAUUAGAGUGCUCAAAACAGGCUAUUCGCCUGAAUAUCAGUGCAUGGAAUAAUAGAAUAAGACCUCGGGUCUAUUUUGUUGGUUUUCGGAACCGAGAUAAUGGUUAAGAGGGACAGACGGGGGCAUUCGUAUCGCUGCGUGAGAGGUGAAAUUCUUGGACCGUAGCGAGACGCCCGACUGCGAAAGCAUUGCCAAGAAUGUCUUCAUUAAUCAAGAACGAAAGUCAG
This 936-nucleotide ribosomal RNA is filed under the name Leptolaimus sp. Ugent CeMoFe13X6K14. RNAcentral's name for it is "SSU rRNA". It matches the Rfam family "Eukaryotic small subunit ribosomal RNA", at positions 49 to 993 of the family's 1831-position model. Lineage: Eukaryota; Metazoa; Nematoda; Chromadorea; Plectida; Leptolaimidae. The record is from RNAcentral.